UACGUAGGGGGCAAGCGUUGUCCGGAAUCAUUGGGCGUAAAGCGCGUGUAGGCGGCUCGAUAAGUCUGCUGUGAAAGUCCAGGGCUCAACCCUGGGAUGCCGGUGGAUACUGUCGAGCUCGAGUCCGGAAGAGGAGUGUGGAAUUCCUGGUGUAGCGGUGAAAUGCGCAGAUAUCAGGAGGAACACCUGCGGUGUAGACGGCUUUCUGGACCAUUGCUGACGCUGAGACACGAAAGCGUGGGUAGCAAACAGG
This 253-nucleotide ribosomal RNA is filed under the name uncultured bacterium. Its description in RNAcentral is "partial 16S ribosomal RNA". It matches the Rfam family "Bacterial small subunit ribosomal RNA", at positions 524 to 776 of the family's 1533-position model. The record is from RNAcentral.